RNAcentral lists this transfer RNA (73 nucleotides) under Camelus bactrianus (Bactrian camel). It matches the Rfam family "tRNA". Rfam says of the family: Transfer RNA (tRNA) molecules are approximately 80 nucleotides in length. Their secondary structure includes four short double-helical elements and three loops (D, anti-codon, and T loops). RNAcentral also lists the same sequence under 2 other names. Lineage: Eukaryota; Metazoa; Chordata; Mammalia; Artiodactyla; Camelidae. The record is from Rfam by way of RNAcentral.
GAUGGUAUAGCUCAAUUGGUAGAGUGCCUGCUUAGCAUACAGGAGGUCCUGGGUUCAAUCCCCAGUACCUCUA